Homo sapiens (human) is the source of this 465-nucleotide long non-coding RNA. The record is from Ensembl. NCBI's taxonomy places the organism in Eukaryota, Metazoa, Chordata, Mammalia, Primates, Hominidae.
AAGCCAAGGCUCUAGAAGCUGUUUUUGUCUAACAGUUGAGAGUUGCAACCGCUGAAUGGGAACAGAUGAGGCAAGCGAACCUCAUGUGCAAUUAGGCCAAUGUGGAGCUAUUCACAUUUGGAGGCUUGGUAGGCAAUUUCACAUUCUUCUGGAGCUAAGCCAACCGACGGGCUGUGACAUGAGAUAAUCGGUGCCACUGAUGUGUGAAGGUCUCGUGAGAGAUGACAGACACGCUGCGGAAACAGGCAUCGGAGGGUCUCUGCCGGUGAGCAAAAAGACCUUGAGAGUCUAAGGACAAGUUAUAUCAGGAAGUCAAAAUGUACUUCAGGCUUGUGGAGGACCAAGGGCAACAGAGCAAGAAUGAUUUCCAGCCCCAGCAGCCCAACAGGACACCCACCAAGAGGGGAGGAGGGCUGAGUGCAGACUUCUAAAGCUAGAUUUCCCCAGAGGCACCGGUUGGUGAGG